Molecule: ribosomal RNA, 346 nt
Filed under: uncultured rumen protozoa
Lineage: Eukaryota
Description: SSU rRNA
Rfam family: Eukaryotic small subunit ribosomal RNA
Source: RNAcentral
UGAGGCAAUAACAGGUCUGUGAUGCCCUUAUAUGUCCUGGGCUGCACGCGUGCUACACUGAUGCAUACAACAAGUGCCCAACCAGACAUGGUACGGCAAUCUCGAAUAUGCAUCGUGAUGGGGAUAGAUCUUUGUAAUUAUAGAUCUUGAACGAGGAAUUCCUAGUAAGUGCAAGUCAUCAUCUUGCAUUGAUUAUGUCCCUGCCCUUUGUACACACCGCCCGUCGCUCCUACCGAUACCGGGUGAUCCGGUGAACCUUUUGGACUUGUAUGAGAAAGAUAAGUAAACCAUAUCACCUAGAGGAAGGAGAAGUCAGUAACAAGGUUUCCGUAGGUGAACCUGCGGA